Long non-coding RNA from Gossypium raimondii (Peruvian cotton), 733 nucleotides. RefSeq lists it as uncharacterized. NCBI's taxonomy places the organism in Eukaryota, Viridiplantae, Streptophyta, Magnoliopsida, Malvales, Malvaceae. The transcript is spliced from 2 exons. The record is from RefSeq and is a predicted model, not a curated record.
UCGGGUUUCGGUUAUUAGGCGAAACGGCGUCGUUUUGGUCAUAAAACUUAAGCCCAAAAUGGCGCCAUAUGAUGGCCUGCAUAAAUAGCAAAAAAUAAAGAAAAAAAAAUAUUUUCAUUACAUUUAAAAAAACAACAGAGAACUCUCUGUUCUCUUUCCCCUUUUCCGUCAGAUACCACAGCCGGCUACCAACGCCGGGGCUCCGCCGUGAGAGGUGGCCUUGGCAAGAAAAGGUGGGUUUUUAACGCCAUUCUCGACCCCCCUAAAGAUCUACCCAUUUAGUCCCGAAAAAACGAAAAAGGAGGGGUUUUUCCUACCCCCUUUUCAGUCCGAUUCCAACGCCGAAGGUGGUCUCCGGCGACGGGCUUUCAAGACCAGUGAUUGACAUGCGUCGGUGAUGGGACAAUGGCGGUGACAAACGCGCGGCAGUGGCAGUUGGUAGGUCAAGGAUCGGAAGAGUCAGAAGGCCCUAGGUGCGGCGCACCUAGAGCUAGGGUUUUUCUGUUUCUUUCUUUUAUUUUGAAAAUGGGUUUUGGGCUUGUAAUUGUAUUGGGCCUGGGUUAAUUUGAUUGGGCCAUGGGGAUUUUGGGCUUGUAAUUGGGUCAAAAUUUUGAAAAUGGGCUGUUUGUAAUUUGGUUUAUUUUCUGAUACGGGCCCGGGCAAAAAUGGGCUUGUACAAUCUACUAGUUUAAUCACAAUAUUUUUAUUUAUGAACUAACCAAUUUACUUUGUA